UAAGUGGGGCUAAAAUGCGGUUAUGAGUUUGUCAAAUUUUUGGCUAACCUUUUCAUAUUACACAUUAAUGGAAUGAAUGACACAACCUUCCAUAACCCAUUUUAAUGGAGGAUAUAUAAAAGAAUCCCUACAAACUCCAUCAUUCACCAGAUUUUCUUAUUCAAAUUCUAGAACAUAAUAAGCUUCCAAUACGUUCAAGUGAGUCAUGGCUACCAUUACUAUUUAUUGCAAGGCGUUUGGUAAAGCAGCUUUGUAUACGGGCAAAAUCGAGGGCGGAAUAACCCUCGAUUCCCCAUUGAAAGAACUAAAGAUUAUGAUAUUUGUUACCGGCUCGGAAGAGAUCCCGAUCGGGGUUGAGAUCGGGAAGGAAUCAUGACAGGAUCGAGAUCAGAUAAUCCCGAGCUACGGAACUGGGCUGGAGCCGAAUACCGAGGUAGGACAAGAGGCGGUUAGCAACGGUAGAAGAGGGCCCGAAAUAUCCGCCAUCAACCGGAUAUGACGGCGCCGAUUUCGCUCAUCAGAUAACUGAAUAUUUUGUGUCUUAUUUAGACUUGUACUAGGGUUAGGACUCCCUACUAUAUAAAGAGGAGGACCGCUUUAUUUUUUGUCUGUUUUUUACACGCACAAGCAUUCUAAGCAAUACAAAUCUGAUUCUAAGUGUUCCUCAAA
Long non-coding RNA from Lycium barbarum (goji berry), 669 nucleotides. RefSeq lists it as uncharacterized. The transcript is spliced from 2 exons. The record is from RefSeq and is a predicted model, not a curated record. Lineage: Eukaryota; Viridiplantae; Streptophyta; Magnoliopsida; Solanales; Solanaceae.